GGAGCAGAUGGGUGCUGGUGUGCCCCCUGGUCUUCAAAACCAGUGAGGGUGGUGAAGAGCUGCCUAGGUGGGUUCGAUUCCCACAUGUUCC
This 91-nucleotide transfer RNA is filed under the name human gut metagenome. RNAcentral describes it as "Selenocysteine transfer RNA". It matches the Rfam family "Selenocysteine transfer RNA". The record is from RNAcentral.